AACGUAGGUGGCGAGCGUUAUCCGGAUUUACUGGGCGUAAAGCGUGCGCAGGCGGUUCGGAAAGAAAGAUGUGAAAUCCCAGGGCUUAACCUUGGAACUGCAUUUUUAACUACCGGGCUAGAGUGUGUCAGAGGGGGGUGGAAUUCCACGUGUAGCAGUGAAAUGCGUAGAUAUCAGGAGGAAUACCGAUGGCGAAGGCAGGUCUCUGGGCUGACACUGACGCUCAUGCACGAAAGCGUGGGGAGCAAACAGG
RNAcentral lists this ribosomal RNA (253 nucleotides) under uncultured bacterium. RNAcentral describes it as "partial 16S ribosomal RNA". It matches the Rfam family "Bacterial small subunit ribosomal RNA", at positions 524 to 776 of the family's 1533-position model. The record is from RNAcentral.